Non-coding RNA from Arachis ipaensis, 154 nucleotides. The record is from RefSeq and is a predicted model, not a curated record. Lineage: Eukaryota; Viridiplantae; Streptophyta; Magnoliopsida; Fabales; Fabaceae.
GCCUGAGCUCAAUGUUGAUCUUAUUAUCAGGUUACCCAAGGGGUGUUUCCACGAGAAAGAUUACUUAAAUUAUAGGUACCAUGCCAAAAGGUGCCUUUAUCUCUGCUUGAUCAAGAAGUACUUGGAGGCUUCUCCAUCUAUUGGUAAGGUUGAA